Molecule: ribosomal RNA, 288 nt
Filed under: Triticum aestivum (bread wheat)
Lineage: Eukaryota; Viridiplantae; Streptophyta; Magnoliopsida; Poales; Poaceae
Description: partial small subunit ribosomal RNA
Source: RNAcentral
AUGUAUCACAACUUUAAAACUAUAUUUUGGAACGUGUGUGUGCUUAAUAGCCCGGCCAAACGCGCGACAGUUCAUAGCGUGAUCAUCGCCGCUGCACCCUCCAUCGCCUGCCUCCAAGAGAUCAAACUCUUAUGUGUCUCUCCCAGCAUCAUUGCUGGAAUGCUUCACGCGUCAUUCCGCGACUUCUACUGGCUGCCCGCCGACGGCAGACGUGGCGAAAUCCUCCUUGCUUGGCAGGCUGACCAUGUCUCGCUUCUCAACCGCACCAUUGAUAAUCCACAAGUAUAG